RNAcentral lists this ribosomal RNA (439 nucleotides) under uncultured bacterium. Its description in RNAcentral is "bacterial SSU rRNA". It matches the Rfam family "Bacterial small subunit ribosomal RNA", at positions 28 to 450 of the family's 1533-position model. The record is from RNAcentral.
GAUGAACGCUGGCGGCGUGCUUAACACAUGCAAGUCGAACGGGGAUUAUUUCAUUGAAGCUUCGGCAGAUUUGGCUUAAUCCUAGUGGCGGACGGGUGAGUAACGCGUGGGUAACCUGCCUUGUACAGGGGGAUAACAGUCAGAAAUGACUGCUAAUACCGCAUAAGCGCACAGGACCGCAUGGUCCGGUGUGAAAAACUCCGGUGGUAUAAGAUGGACCCGCGUUGGAUUAGCUAGUUGGCAGGGUAACGGCCUACCAAGGCGACGAUCCAUAGCCGGCCUGAGAGGGUGAACGGCCACAUUGGGACUGAGACACGGCCCAGACUCCUACGGGAGGCAGCAGUGGGGAAUAUUGCACAAUGGGGGAAACCCCGAUGCAGCGACGCCGCGUGAAGGAAGAAGUAUCUCGGUAUGUAAACUUCUAUCAGCAGGGAAGAAA